GAUGAACGCUGGCGGCGUGCCUAAUACAUGCAAGUCGAGCGAACGGACGAGAAGCUUGCUUCUCUGAUGUUAUCGGCGGACGGGUGAGUAACACGUGGAUAACCUACCUAUAAGACUGGGAUAACUUCGGGAAACCGGAGCUAAUACCGGAUGAUAUUUUGAACCGCAUGGUUCAAAAGUGAAAGACGGUCUUGCUGUCACUUAUAGAUGGAUCCGCGCUGCAUUAGCUAGUUGGUAAGGUAACGGCUUACCAAGGCAACGAUGCAUAGCCGACCUGAGAGGGUGAUCGGCCACACUGGAACUGAGACACGGUCCAGACUCCUACGGGAGGCAGCAGUAGGGAAUCUUCCGCAAUGGGCGAAAGCCGGACGGAGCAACGCCGCGUGAGUGAUGAAGGUCUUCGGAUCGUAAAACUCUGUUAUUAGGGAAGAACAUAUGUGUAAGUAACUGUGCACAUCUUGACGGUACCUAAUCAGAAAGCCACGGCUAACUACGUG
RNAcentral lists this ribosomal RNA (497 nucleotides) under uncultured bacterium. RNAcentral's name for it is "partial 16S ribosomal RNA". It matches the Rfam family "Bacterial small subunit ribosomal RNA", at positions 28 to 507 of the family's 1533-position model. The record is from RNAcentral.